UGGACUAUAGCCAAGUGGUAAGGCAAGAGACUUUGACUCUCUCAUUCCGCUGGUUCGAGUCCAGCUAGUCCAA
RNAcentral lists this transfer RNA (73 nucleotides) under Caudoviricetes sp. RNAcentral describes it as "tRNA-Gln". It matches the Rfam family "tRNA". From Rfam's summary of the family: Transfer RNA (tRNA) molecules are approximately 80 nucleotides in length. Their secondary structure includes four short double-helical elements and three loops (D, anti-codon, and T loops). Further hydrogen bonds mediate the characteristic L-shaped molecular structure. tRNAs have two regions of fundamental functional importance: the anti-codon, which is responsible for specific mRNA codon recognition, and the 3' end, to which the tRNAs corresponding amino acid is attached (by aminoacyl-tRNA synthetases). tRNAs cope with the degeneracy of the genetic code in two manners: having more than one tRNA (with a specific anti-codon) for a particular amino acid; and 'wobble' base-pairing, i.e. permitting non-standard base-pairing at the 3rd anti-codon position. Lineage: Duplodnaviria; Heunggongvirae; Uroviricota; Caudoviricetes. The record is from RNAcentral.